UCUUCUUUCAGGGCCUGCUGAAUAACAAUCAAGGAUGACAGCUCUGGUCAACUUCAUCUCUCUCAUGCAGGAUUAAAUAUGAAGGUGAACCCCAUUUAUCUGGCCCAAAUUUCUGGACUUGCUGAGUCUCUGCACUUGAAUUCAAGGAAGGCAAAAGGCAUCAAGAUCACAAGUGGAGAUGUUCACUGAUGAUUAUACAAUGCUCAGUACCAUUUGCUACACCA
This is a long non-coding RNA of Chiloscyllium plagiosum (whitespotted bambooshark), 224 nucleotides long. RefSeq lists it as uncharacterized. The record is from RefSeq and is a predicted model, not a curated record. Lineage: Eukaryota; Metazoa; Chordata; Chondrichthyes; Orectolobiformes; Hemiscylliidae.